AGAAAUAUAGUUAAAUCAAUAAUAUUUAUUUUGCUAAUAAAAGUUAUCUUAUAGAUUAUUUUUA
Molecule: transfer RNA, 64 nt
Filed under: Trichomalopsis sarcophagae
Lineage: Eukaryota; Metazoa; Arthropoda; Insecta; Hymenoptera; Pteromalidae
Description: tRNA-Ala
Source: RNAcentral